Molecule: ribosomal RNA, 526 nt
Filed under: Fusarium graminearum
Lineage: Eukaryota; Fungi; Ascomycota; Sordariomycetes; Hypocreales; Nectriaceae
Description: eukaryotic LSU rRNA
Rfam family: 5.8S ribosomal RNA (bases 169-322)
Source: RNAcentral
UGACUGCGGAGGGAUCAUUACCGAGUUUACAACUCCCAAACCCCUGUGAACAUACCUUAUGUUGCCUCGGCGGAUCAGCCCGCGCCCCGUAAAAAGGGACGGCCCGCCGCAGGAACCCUAAACUCUGUUUUUAGUGGAACUUCUGAGUAUAAAAAACAAAUAAAUCAAAACUUUCAACAACGGAUCUCUUGGUUCUGGCAUCGAUGAAGAACGCAGCAAAAUGCGAUAAGUAAUGUGAAUUGCAGAAUUCAGUGAAUCAUCGAAUCUUUGAACGCACAUUGCGCCCGCCAGUAUUCUGGCGGGCAUGCCUGUUCGAGCGUCAUUUCAACCCUCAAGCCCAGCUUGGUGUUGGGAGCUGCAGUCCUGCUGCACUCCCCAAAUACAUUGGCGGUCACGUCGAGCUUCCAUAGCGUAGUAAUUUACACAUCGUUACUGGUAAUCGUCGCGGCCACGCCGUUAAACCCCAACUUCUGAAUGUUGACCUCGGAUCAGGUAGGAAUACCCGCUGAACUUAAGCAUAUCAAAA